This 468-nucleotide ribosomal RNA is filed under the name uncultured bacterium. Its description in RNAcentral is "partial 16S ribosomal RNA". It matches the Rfam family "Bacterial small subunit ribosomal RNA", at positions 28 to 507 of the family's 1533-position model. The record is from RNAcentral.
GACGAACGCUGGCGGCGUGCUUAACACAUGCAAGUCGAACGGAAAGGCCCUGCUUUUGUGGGGUGCUCGAGUGGCGAACGGGUGAGUAACACGUGAGUAACCUGCCCUUGACUUUGGGAUAACUUCAGGAAACUGGGGCUAAUACCGGAUAGGAGCUCCUGCUGCAUGGUGGGGGUUGGAAAGUUUCGGCGGUUGGGGAUGGACUCGCGGCUUAUCAGCUUGUUGGUGGGGUAGUGGCUUACCAAGGCUUUGACGGGUAGCCGGCCUGAGAGGGUGACCGGCCACAUUGGGACUGAGAUACGGCCCAGACUCCUACGGGAGACAGCAGUGGGGAAUAUUGCACAAUGGGCGGAAGCCUGAUGCAGCGACGCCGCGUGCGGGAUGACGGCCUUCGGGUUGUAAACCGCUUUCGCCUGUGACGAAGCGUGAGUGACGGUAAUGGGUAAAGAAGCACCGGCUAACUACGUG